AGGGUAAAGGUACUUUGUUUAUCAGUAACUAAUAUGAGGGUGAGACCGAUGACUAUUAGUGAAAGGUCAAUGCCGAAGUAAGAAAGGUAUGUCAAAUAAGCUUACUGAAGUUACAUUGAAUAAGUGUAACGCUACGAUAGUAGAUCAAAACAUAAUUGUGGAGUGCUACUGU
RNAcentral lists this non-coding RNA (172 nucleotides) under uncultured Photobacterium sp. RNAcentral describes it as "Lysine riboswitch". It matches the Rfam family "Lysine riboswitch aptamer". Rfam says of the family: Riboswitches are metabolite binding domains within certain messenger RNAs that serve as precision sensors for their corresponding targets. Lineage: Bacteria; Pseudomonadati; Pseudomonadota; Gammaproteobacteria; Vibrionales; Vibrionaceae. The record is from RNAcentral.